UACGUAGGUGGCAAGCGUUAUCCGGAUUUAUUGGGCGUAAAGAGAGUGCAGGCGGUUUUCUAAGUCUGAUGUGAAAGCCUUCGGCUUAACCGGAGAAGUGCAUCGGAAACUGGAUAACUUGAGUGCAGAAGAGGGUAGUGGAACUCCAUGUGUAGCGGUGGAAUGCGUAGAUAUAUGGAAGAACACCAGUGGCGAAGGCGGCUACCUGGUCUGCAACUGACGCUGAGACUCGAAAGCAUGGGUAGCGAAC
RNAcentral lists this ribosomal RNA (250 nucleotides) under uncultured bacterium. RNAcentral's name for it is "partial 16S ribosomal RNA". It matches the Rfam family "Bacterial small subunit ribosomal RNA", at positions 524 to 773 of the family's 1533-position model. The record is from RNAcentral. RNAcentral also lists the same sequence under 1 other name.